This 185-nucleotide ribosomal RNA is filed under the name uncultured bacterium. RNAcentral's name for it is "partial 16S ribosomal RNA". It matches the Rfam family "Bacterial small subunit ribosomal RNA", at positions 1316 to 1500 of the family's 1533-position model. The record is from RNAcentral.
CUUCAUGAAGCCGGAAUUGCUAGUAAUGGCAGGUCAGCAUACUGCCGUGAAUACGUUCCCGGGCCUUGUACACACCGCCCGUCACACCAUGAGAGUUGGGAAUACCCGAAGCCUGUGAGCCAACCGUAAGGGGGCAGCAGUCGAAGGUAGAAUCAAUGAUUGGGGUGAAGUCGUAACAAGGUAGC